This 247-nucleotide ribosomal RNA is filed under the name uncultured bacterium. RNAcentral describes it as "partial 16S ribosomal RNA". It matches the Rfam family "Bacterial small subunit ribosomal RNA", at positions 524 to 768 of the family's 1533-position model. The record is from RNAcentral.
UACGGAGGGUGCAAGCGUUAUCCGGAUUCACUGGGUUUAAAGGGUGCGUAGGUGGGUCUGUAAGUCAGUGGUGAAAUCUCCGAGCUUAACUCGGAAACUGCCAUUGAUACUAUAGGUCUUGAAUUAUCUGGAGGUGAGCGGAAUAUGUCAUGUAGCGGUGAAAUGCUUAGAUAUGACAUAGAACACCAAAUUGCGAAGGCAGCUCACUACGGAUAUAUUGACACUGAGGCACGAAAAGCGUGGGGGG